Long non-coding RNA from Pan troglodytes (chimpanzee), 786 nucleotides. RefSeq lists it as uncharacterized. NCBI's taxonomy places the organism in Eukaryota, Metazoa, Chordata, Mammalia, Primates, Hominidae. The transcript has 2 exons. The record is from RefSeq and is a predicted model, not a curated record.
GUACACCUAGGCUAUAUGGAAUAGCCUAUUGCUCCUAGGCUUCAAACCCGUACAGCAUGGCACUAUAUGGAAUACUGUAGGCAAUUUUAUCACAAUGCUGGAAUGUCUUCAGAAGCGAUAACACACAAAGAGCUGUCAUCUCCUAGGAUAACAAUGCCUUCUUCUAGAGUACCUCCUGAAGAACCUGCUUGAGGCCAUGUUACAGUUCACUUUUUUUAUUAGUAGGAGUACAUGCUAAAAUAAUGAUAAAUAGUAUAGUAUAGUAAAUACAUACACCAUACUGUAAGUACAUAAUAUUAGGUGCUAGAUUUUUAUAUCACUGGUGGCACAGUAGGUUUGUUUACACCAGCAUCACCACAGACACUUAAGUAACGCAUUACACUAAGACGUCACAAUGACUACCACAUCACGAGGUGACGGGAAUUUUUCAGGUCCGUUAUAAUCUUAUAGGACCAUCAUUGUAUAUGCGAUCCAUUAUUGACUGAGACGUCUUUAUAUGGCUCAUAACUGUAUGAUACUUAAAGAUACAUAUGAGAACUUUCUUGCUGAUACCGUUUGGAUUUCUUCUGAUGUAUUCCAUUUUGAGAGCUGAUGAAGCAGCAAAUAGAAGCCUAAUUACAUUUCUGUUCUCCUCCCAUUCCCCCAGAAUCCUGACCCUUGGGAAUGGGAUCUGGAGCCAGUGGGAAGCAUUCUCCGAAUAUGAUAAUGUGGUUAUCUUCUGACAAGUGCUGGCAUUAUCACUUGUUGCUAGUGAGCAUUUUUUAAUAAAUAAUUUUUGCUCUUGAA